This is a long non-coding RNA of Lingula anatina, 1237 nucleotides long. RefSeq lists it as uncharacterized. NCBI's taxonomy places the organism in Eukaryota, Metazoa, Brachiopoda, Lingulata, Lingulida, Lingulidae. The record is from RefSeq and is a predicted model, not a curated record.
CAAGGAAAUGACUUGUGAACUGGGGGACAGACCUACCCCUUGUAACCCUCAAUUUUGAAGAUAAAAGUCUCCAACAAGAAGUCACUGUUACUGUAUCUAGACUACCAGUGGUCAAGACAUCUGCAGGAGAAGAGGACCCUCAGCUCAUCCUACCGACCCAGCCUUAAUUCACAACUUUUCCAGAAAGAUGAUUAUUGUAACCAUAGCAACUCUGGUUGCCAUGGCAAUUGGAAUCCUAGCAAACAGCCUCACUGUUGUCUUCACUAUGUAGAAGAAAGAAAACCCAGCCAUCCCAGCAGUGAAGUGAGGCUCUAAGAUCCCAAGGAUAACCAGGUUACUACUGACACCAUGAAGUGAAGGCACAGGACAAAGUUAGAGGAAAGAAUUCUCAUGGAUUUUUAUGGUGGAUCUUCAGAUUUUAAUUAAUAUCACAUUGGAAAAAAAUGGAAUGAAUUAUAACAGCAUAUGACUUGGUCACAUAUUGUAUGUAGAUAUUCCUACAGAGAAGAAUUGAAUUACCACGCAACAUGAGCACCAUCUACAUUCUAAAUGACAGUUAUCAUCGGAUGUUGUCGGUGAAAUUAUAACCAUGAAAAGAAAUAGCAGAAUCCUAUCCAUCGAAGUUUCAAAUAAGACCAGAAUAUAACAAUGACUUUUUUAAUUUAUGUAACUGCACUCCUUAUAUAAAAAAAUAAUAUAUCUAUAUGAAUGCAUCUUUUAGGAUAUUUGGGUUGUGAUAAUCUUAAAUUCAAUUUUAAGUAAAUAUCAAAAUGACACUGAUUAACAUUUUGGUAAAAUAUUCCAUCUCACGUCUCACAUUCAUAUUCCAUCUCACAUCUACUCAGUAAGAUACAUAUUAUUAUAGAAUCUUGUCAUCAAAAUAUAAUUAUAAAAAUAAUAAUGGCUUUUUCACAAUAUUGUUCUCACUCUCACAUUUGGUAUCAAACCACAUCAGUGGAUACACAUGUCAUACUUGUAAUUUAAUGCCUUAAAUGAAUUUUCGGUUUUCUCAACUUUUCAUUGAAAUAGCAACUAUAAAUAUGAUCAAUUCCAUUACAUUCAGUCUAAUUUCCAGAAGUUUAUAAGGUUGUUAUAUAACAAUAUGUGUCCUGAAUUAUAUAGAUGUGCGGGUUAAAUGUUUUUAGGAUGUAUACUUAUAUAAUCAGUUUACAGGUCAAGUUUAAAGAAGUCUUUUCUAAGUCACACGAGGUAACUCAAUUAAACAAGAAGCCAUAUC